This 1477-nucleotide long non-coding RNA is filed under the name Helianthus annuus (common sunflower). Its description in RNAcentral is "hypothetical non coding rna". The record is from RNAcentral. Lineage: Eukaryota; Viridiplantae; Streptophyta; Magnoliopsida; Asterales; Asteraceae.
UAUAUUUCAAUUCCCUACUCUAUCAUCCGCUCUAGUGCAUUCGUUUGCAUCCAGCAACCAGGUAACUCUCUUCGAACACUUAGCCCUAAUUCUGAAAUUAAGAACCAUUGGUUUAUAGAGGAAGACAGUGUGGUUCAUCCUAAUUCUGAAAUGAUUUCAAUCUACAGUGAAGACACCACUCUGAAACAAUACCUUCAUUGUCUUCUUAAAUCCUACAAAUCUUCCACAACCACCCUUUUCCAUUGCCUCUCCUGACUCAACACAACCAGCGUCACAAGAAUUACAACAAUCGGUCGUCAUUGUCCCCUCACGCUCUCCUCAAAAUCGCUCGUGAGUUUCCAGCUAGUCACAAUUGUCUCGAGUACAUCGCCUACCCCAACUCCCCUCUCAACGCUGGUGCCGUGCCUUUGUGAUUUUAGAUUUGCAGGAAUGGCCAAUGCUAAAAAACUGAAGAAAGAUGGUCCAGUAUGGUCAAACCUUGAUCUUGAUCUGGUUUUUAAUUAUGAUGUGGGAUUAGUUGAUUUUAUUGCUUUUGGUGGUGUCUGCAAGUCAUGGAGAUCACUUGUGGUCUCUAACUAGAAUAAGUUUAUGUUGGCUAAACAUGCCAUUUGUUUGUCCAUCUCUUCUCAUUUGAAUGAGAAAAAGUUUUACUUAGAGGACUACCGAAGGAGAAAACUGAAAACCACCAUUCCCGAUUCUAACUAUGACAUGAUUUGUGUUGGGAUAACUUGUGGUUUCUUGAUUUUUUUGAGACAAGAACCUGUGAUUUUUGUCUUGUGAAUCCCUUCACAAGGAAAGAACUUUGUUUCCAAGGAUUCCCCUUUUAUGUGCAUUAAAUUCCGAAACAUAUCAGGGGCAUUCUUGUCUUUUCACCAUCAAUGUCCGGGUGGGUUCUUGUGGUAAUCGACCCCAUAUUUGUUGGUUCAGGCCCCAAACUCUACACUCACACAAGACACACUCACAAAACACACAAUUAUAUGUAUAAUUAUAUGAAUGUAAAGUUGCAGAGGUUUUUGAUAAAAGAAAAGGGUUAUUUACUAUUGAGAAAAGAACGUGGCUUUAUAGCCUACAAGAUCCAACGGAAUAAAUAAGAAAAGCAGAACAUGUUUAAAGAAAAUGUGGUACUUCCCACAUGAUUGCUUGAUUGGUAACGAGUCUGCCCAACAUAAUACCGUCUCUGAGCCACCUACCACCAAUGGGCUCGCAAGGCUGGAAGAUUGACAAAAGCACAAAUCAAGUGGAAGUCGGGUGAUAAGGAUUGUCCAUCCAGUCAAGAUCAUGUCAAAGUUGGUCUGUAGAAGAGAACAAGUCUAUGUUUUACAUCAUUUCUGUUACUGCAUGCAUGAAUUCGUAGAUGUUAGGAUGUAGUUAACUGUCUUAUUGUGUAUUUAAAUUUUGUACCGGAUAAAUUAAUCACAAAACUCUCUCUUUCCCUUUGAAAUUCUUGUUGGAGAAAAGCAUAGAUAAAAGGCUUCCU